This 199-nucleotide non-coding RNA is filed under the name Teichococcus deserti. The record is from RNAcentral. Lineage: Bacteria; Pseudomonadati; Pseudomonadota; Alphaproteobacteria; Acetobacterales; Roseomonadaceae. RNAcentral also lists the same sequence under 1 other name.
GGCUAGACAACCAGCACCGGUUUCCGAAAGGAAUCAAAAGGGAAUCCGCCGGGGUCCGCCAGGGCCCCGAACCGGAACUGCCCCCGCAACUGUAGGCGGCGAGCCCCUCUCCGAAGACGCCACUGGGAGCGAUCCCGGGAAGGUCGGGGACGGGCGAUGACCCGCCAGUCAGGAGACCUGCCGGCAUCGUGCAACGACC